GCAGAUUAGCCUCGUUUGCUCUUUAGUGUUCUCAUGUUCUUCUGGCGGUCUGUUUACUUCGUGAUUUUCGUGGGAAUACUUAUUCUCUUAUAAAAAAAGCUUUAUUUAAUUUAUUAUUUGAGUGGUUUCUUAAGGGUUAAGACCCAUGGAAAAAGUUCGCGUGCGAAUGAGAGAGAAUCAGAUUCUCAGUGCUUAACACUGGAGACGAUUAAUGGGCCCGCUACAUUUUUGAGGCCCACGUACGCCCUGGCUAUUUAUCUUGCAUAUUGGAGUCAAGGAAGGCGCCAAUCACAGGGAGCGUCUAUUGUUAUCAUUUUCUCUUCCUCCUACUUUGAUAUUUUCUUCCUCUUUUCUCUCUCACAACACAUACGUUAAAAUAUGGCCGAUCAGCUCACCGACGACCAGAUCUCUGAGUUCAAGGAAGCCUUCAGCCUCUUUGAUAAAGAUGGCGAUGGCUGCAUUACUACUAAGGAACUUGGGACUGUAAUGCGUUCACUAGGCCAGAACCCAACUGAAGCAGAGCUCCAGGACAUGAUAAAUGAGGUUGAUGCUGAUGGGAAUGGCACUAUUGAUUUCCCAGAGUUCCUUAAUCUGAUGGCCCGCAAGAUGAAGGACACUGAUUCUGAGGAGGAGCUCAAGGAAGCUUUUCGGGUUUUUGAUAAGGAUCAGAACGGUUUCAUUUCUGCUGCUGAGCUUCGCCAUGUCAUGACAAAUCUUGGCGAGAAGCUGACAGAUGAGGAGGUUGAUGAGAUGAUUCGUGAGGCAGACGUGGAUGGUGAUGGCCAAAUCAACUAUGAAGAGUUUGUCAAAGUCAUGAUGGCCAAGUAAGGACAAAUCAAUUAAAACUAAAAUUAAAAAGCUCAAAAAGGUGGAAAAAAAGGAAACAGGGCAGAUAAGUUUGAUAAGAAAAAUUCUAUUUCCCUUUAGGAGAUCUUCAUUUUGUGUUAUUAGCUUUGGUUGGGUUGUCUGUUUCUUGUUUGCAUCAUUUUGUGGCACAUUUCAUUACUAUCUACUUGUUUGCUCUGUUUCCUGUCAGUAGCUUGGCUUGUUAGUUUCUCUAUUCUAUUGUUUUUAUUUUAUAUCUACCUUGGUAUUAUGAACCUAGAACAAUCGGGAUGAUCAGAUGUUUUUGCUUGUGAAUGACUAAUUUUGUUGAUAUUCUAAAUUUUAGUCACUUUUAGUUUUAUAUAUUCAUCUUUCUAAUGGUAGCAUGAAUUUAUUAUGUGCUCCAUUGUUGACCAUGAAUUCUUUAUAUCUUAAUUACUUGAAAUGGUUGCCACGGCAUUGGAAAUAGGAUCAAUACUUGGGUUGUCAAUCUAGCUGCUCAUGCUUAUUUGCAUCUGCAACUAGACAACCCUCUUCCCCUGGGCCAACAGAAGAUGCAGUGCAUGUGUAUUUACUCUGGCAACCAUUUAUUAAUUUUUUUCCCUCUCAUUUCUAAUUAUAUAUAAAUAUAAUUCUUAGCUAGCUUCAGUUUUUGAGAAGAUAGAGCAUACGCAGCCUGCAUAGGUUUUUGGCCACUCUUAAAUUUUUUUUAAAUAGUUAUUUUUUUUUGUUAUUUUUAUUGAUUUUAAUUUUAAUAUUAUUAGUAUUUUAGACUUGAUGAACUGAAUGUUCUGAUACUUGGGCUAGACCGAAUGAUAGUCUUUUUCUUAGAUCCAUGGAUGUUGCCAUAAGACAUUUCGUGGUUGUUAGCUGGCUGAUGCCUAGGAAGAAAUCCAUAUUUUAUCUUAAUGACACUCUUAGAACCAGGACUAGGAGUUAACCUAUGAGUGGAAAAUCAAUAUAUUCAGUUUGAUUGGAAGAAAUGGUGAGGAAGAAAAAAGGCUAAUCGCUGAAUUGCUGUCGUAUCAUUUAUUUAUUUAAUUUUUCCCACCUGAAUUUUAUCAUAGAACUCUUGCCUAUACAGGCGUAUACACCAUAAUAUAAGAAAAGUCAUUGAGUAUGAUUUCUUGAUCUUAAUUAUAUAUUGGAUAGAAAGCAUGAAUUGCCUACAAGUUGUGGCGGAUUCUCUCUUGAUUUCUUGUCCAAGUGGGAGCUUUGGAAGAGGAACUUUAUUUGGUUCUUACUUGCCUUUACCCUUUAGAAUCCAAUCCUUUUGGAAAACUCUCUUCUUCGUUGGGUCAUUUUUUUUUUUAAUGUUGAACCAACCAUGAAUCCUAACCAUUAAUCAUAAUGAGAUCUGCAAUAAUCAUCACUUAGGAUGUAGUUACAUGUUAUAUAUUCUUAGAAGGAAGCAUCUAAGAGAGUGGAGCACUAUUUUCAUAUGUUCCAGAGUAUGCUAUAAUAUUUCGAGAGAACAUAGUUGUCCAGAAUCUGCUUUAUUCGGAGUCUUUUUCAGGCAUAAAUGAAAGAAUUUUGGGUUUGCGAAAACAAAUGUGCUAAAAAAUUUUGUGAUCUUUGCUAUUUAUUAACUGAAGAAAUUAUCUUAUAAAAUCAAACGAAGGCCUAAAGCCUCGCGUACUAUAAAAUGCCCAUAAAAAAAACACCCUCCGGAGCUUUUUUUAUCUUUAGUCAAAUUAAAUAAAAAAAGCUUUUAAAUAAAUAUAAUCACACGAAAAUCAUUACAACAAAAUUUUCUUUACAUGUCUGCUCUAUCUUGGUGAAAAUGGGAAUUACAAUAAAGCUAGGCGCCUUUGUUUAAAAAAGAAGCUGAUAAAUGAUAUGGUUAUUGUAUAAACACAGAGAAGCAAAGAAGAGGAAAGAGAGGAGUGAAGAGAGGAGCCAUAGUAACUCCAAGCAAGCCAAAAGUAAUGGAAAGACGCGUCGUAAAGGAUAUGUGGUUCGCAAAUGUUUUAUCCUCUGAUGUUGCUGACAUUUCGUCCAGACUUGCCCUUAUCUAUAGAAUCAAUUGUAGACUACUUUUUUUUUUUUUUUAAUAAUCCCUUUUAAGGAAUAAUGUCUUAAAUGAUGUACAUAUAUGGUACUGAUACCACUACAAAAAAUAAUUAUCAGAUUAAUACUUGAAGGAAUUUAGUGCACUCAUGAGGGUCAAUCCAAUUCUUUGUGCACUUGACAGAGAAAUAAAAUGACAAUAAUAAUAUAUAUGGACUCAAUGAUUCUCCAUGAAUAUGUAUAUAUAGAAGGAUAUAAUGGUUUAAUAUAUAUAUAUACAUGUGGAAGGACACAAUAGUUCAAACAUGACCGGUAUAUAUGUGUGAGUGUAUGCAUAUGUGCAAAGCCAAGUAUUCUAAUGGUGGGCACUAAAUAUUUAAUUUUUAGUCUAAUUAACAUACAUGAUUGAUUUGUGAACUAAUUUUAAUAAUAUGUAUAUAUUUUUAUUUUUUCCUAAAAUAAAUUUCUUCCUCUGUCAAGAAUUGUUUUAGAACAUUUUUGAGACUUCUAAAUUUGUUUUUUGAAUACAAAAU
This 3368-nucleotide unclassified non-coding RNA is filed under the name Hevea brasiliensis (rubber tree). Lineage: Eukaryota; Viridiplantae; Streptophyta; Magnoliopsida; Malpighiales; Euphorbiaceae. The record is from RNAcentral.